Molecule: ribosomal RNA, 253 nt
Filed under: uncultured bacterium
Lineage: Bacteria
Description: partial 16S ribosomal RNA
Rfam family: Bacterial small subunit ribosomal RNA
Source: RNAcentral
UACGUAGGGUGCAAGCGUUGUCCGGAAUUAUUGGGCGUAAAGAGCUCGUAGGCGGUCUGUCGCGUCGGCUGUGAAAACCCGGGGCUCAACUCCGGGCUUGCACUCGAUACGGGCGGACUAGAGUUCGGUAGGGGAGACUGGAAUUCCUGGUGUAGCGGUGAAAUGCGCAGAUAUCAGGAGGAACACCGGUGGCGAAGGCGGGUCUCUGGGCCGAUACUGACGCUGAGGAGCGAAAGCGUGGGGAGCGAACAGG